RNAcentral lists this ribosomal RNA (488 nucleotides) under uncultured bacterium. RNAcentral's name for it is "partial 16S ribosomal RNA". It matches the Rfam family "Bacterial small subunit ribosomal RNA", at positions 28 to 507 of the family's 1533-position model. The record is from RNAcentral.
GACGAACGCUGGCGGCGUGCUUAACACAUGCAAGUCGAACGCGCCUGUCCUCUGGGUUUCUGGGGGGUGGGUGAGUGGCGAACGGGUGAGUAACACGUGAGUAACCUGCCCCCUUCUUCGGGAUAACGGUCUGAAAGGGCUGCUAAUACCGGGUAUUCACUGGUCUCCGCAUGGGGUCUGGUGGAAAGGUUUUUUUCUGGUGGGGGGUGGGCUCGCGGCCUAUCAGCUUGUUGGUGGGGUGAUGGCCCACCAAGGCUUUGACGGGUAGCCGGCCUGAGAGGGUGACCGGUCACAUUGGGACUGAGAUACGGCCCAGACUCCUACGGGAGGCAGCAGUGGGGAAUAUUGCACAAUGGGCGCAAGCCUGAUGCAGCGACGCCGCGUGAGGGAUGGAGGCCUUCGGGUUGUGAACCUCUUUCGCCCGUGGUCAAGCCGCGACGUGGGUCGUGGUGAGGGUAGUGGGUAAAGAAGCGCCGGCUAACUACGUG